RNAcentral lists this ribosomal RNA (251 nucleotides) under uncultured archaeon. Its description in RNAcentral is "partial 16S ribosomal RNA". It matches the Rfam family "Archaeal small subunit ribosomal RNA", at positions 474 to 727 of the family's 1478-position model. The record is from RNAcentral.
UACCAGCACCCCGAGUGGUCGGGACGUUUAUUGGGCCUAAAGCAUCCGUAGCCGGUUCUGCAAGUCUUCCGUUAAAUCCACCUGCUUAACAGAUGGGCCGCGGAAGAUACUACAGAGCUAGGAGGCGGGAGAGGCAAGCGGUACUCGAUGGGUAGGGGUAAAAUCCGUUGAUCCAUUGAAGACCACCAGUGGCGAAGGCGGCUUGCCAGAGCGCUCGACGGUGAGGGAUGAAAGCUGGGGGAGCAAACCGG